RNAcentral lists this long non-coding RNA (18973 nucleotides) under Triticum aestivum (bread wheat). RNAcentral's name for it is "long non-coding RNA (TAES_LNC023040)". The record is from RNAcentral. Lineage: Eukaryota; Viridiplantae; Streptophyta; Magnoliopsida; Poales; Poaceae.
UGAACACAAGAAUUAGGACAAGGUUUUAGAGUUCGGUGAUGACCGUCCGGACGUCUAGUGGCCAAUUUGCGGGAAAACAAACACAAGAACUCCAAAUCUCCCCUGAUGUCUGUCCGAUUUACAAAAUAACGAACACAAGAACACGUUCGCAGACAAUUAAGGUCCGCAUAGUGUUUUUCAGGGUGUGGUGGAGAUGCCCUAAGGAAGAGCUACCGUCAACAUACGAAAUCGAACUUCAUACAACACUCAAACUAGAACAUCGAAGGCACCGUUUACAACAUGAUACGCUCGUGAACCAACUACUCCCUCUAUUUUUUUUUAGUCCGCAUAUAAGGUUUGGUCAAAGUCAAUCUUUAUAAAGUUUGACUAAUUUUAUAUUAAAAAAUAUAAACAUUUAUAAUAUGAAAUCAAUAUUGUCAGAUCCUCUAUGAAACAUAUUAUCAUACUAUAUAGUUUUAGUAUUGUAGAUGUUUAUAUUUUUUUUAUAUAAAUUUGGUCAAACUUUAUGUAAUUUGACUUUGACCAAAUUUUAUAUGCGGAGUAAAAAAAAGGAGGGAGUACUUAUGAGUCUCAUACCUUUUCAGCAGGGUAGCGUUAGGCACAAUAAAAGGUGCUUAGAGAGAUGCUUAGAAAAAUAAACCGGAUUUUUCUGAAGCACCGGUGCUUAUUUCUAGAGGAGAGACGCUUAGUUAAGCGUCUAUCCGGUACAAAUAAGCACCGGUGCUUAAGAAAAUCCUGGUUUAUUUCUCUAAACACCUCUCAUAAGCACCUCCCAUUGUACAAGGCCUUAAAUGGUCUCAGAGUACAUAAGGGUCUCAGGUAUAAACAACCCGUUAUAGCCCGCUAUAGCUGAUUAUGAGGUCCGCCGCUAUUUGGCGUAGCCCACUAUUUAAAACAUUGCUCCCAUGGCCAUCCUGACUGACGGGCAUCCUGCUCCCGUGGCCAUCUCUAGAUGUACUUCUCCGCCGCCGGGUGCCAGCCGCUGGCCGGGUACGCGGGGUCAGGGGCCACAGGGGUGCCGACGGGGCCGUGGUGGCCGUGCGUCCCAGCCGUGCCGUGGCAUCCCGCGGCCGCUUUGGCGCGGUGCUCGGCCUUCUCCUGGUGCUUCUGCGCGUCGGCCUGGGCCUUGUGCGCGCGCUCCUCCUCCUUGGCCAUCUCCUUCUCGCCGUGCGUGGUCGCCGCGGCUUUGCCCGCCUUGCCCUGCACCUCGGCCGAUCCCUCCUUCGCUUUCUCCUGGGCCGAGCUCACCAUGUCCUUGGCCCUCACCUUCGCCGUCUGCAUCGUGUAGUGUGCCGCUCCUCCAAUGGCUGCCUCGUGCGUCGCGUGCGGGUGUCUGGUCGUGUGGAUAUAGUUCUUCGGCGGCUGUCUUGCUUGUGUGGCUCUUGGGUGUGGUGGAUUUAUGGGCGCUGAUUGCUCGGAGCGGCGGCGGUGGAGUUUGGUUUCUUGCCGGGCGCGAGCGGCGUCCUCUCGCCUGGCAGCACGUCAGCUGCGGGGUGGCUGGUGGCGCGCAUGCGGCGAUGCCAGAGCAUCGGGAGCUGCACGUCGCGGCUUGAGGUGGCAAACUGGCAGCCCGGCAGCUCCAUAACGUUGGGCCUGUGCGGCCGCACCGCCGAUACUAUGCUAACCUGCUUGGUGAUCUGGAAGAUGUUCAGUUUAAUGAAACUGCUGAUAGAGCUAUCAGGUUACUGGAUAAGAAGUGAUAUUAAGAAAAAUUCCACAAAGAGACAACAUUUGUCUUUGUUCUUCAGCUUUCUUGCGUGCGACUUGUGUUGUUCUUCUUCUUUUUUUCUUUUUUUUAGGGAAAAGAGCAAAAUUACAUUACUCUUGAGCCAACAUACAGUCGGCUGCUAGCACUGCUUUCAGGUCACCCGGGACAGUCGCCAUCCAUUGCAUGUCGCCCAUUCUCCUAGCUCUGCCGCGAGGCAAUGCGCCAUAUUGUUCUGUUUACGGUUAGCAUAUAUGACCUGAGAUCCUUGGAAUUUCUGCAGCUCCUUCUUGAUGUCGUGUAGCACUGAGAAACAGGCUGAUCGAUUAUCUGAAUCAGGUUGUAGUUCCUUCACCAGGAAUGAACAGUCAGUCUCAGCGAUGACAGGUUCUCUGUAUAGCAUCGCCAAUUUCUGCAGUCCAUAGAGCAGAGCACGAGCCUCGGCUUCCUCCACAGAAGAGCAGCGAACAAUUUCUUUGGACAGCGAGAAGAGAACGAAUCCCCCGUGAUCGCGAGCCACUGCACCCACAUGAGAAAUCCCGUUGUCAGCAAAGAAAGAAGCAUCAGUAUUCAGUUUGACAGUUUCGCUGUCUGGGGGGUACCACUGCUUUGCAACACCUGAAUCAGGUUCCUUGUCCUGUAACUUCUCCACACCAGCGUCAGAGACAGGUCGUUCUUGCUCAGCCGAAACAAGAACUGUAUGCUCCCUGCCAUGUUUAUCCUUUGUUCCUGAAAAAAAACUUCCCGUUGUAGCUGAUCAGUUCCUCCUCAUAUUGCUGCAGAAAGUGUGCCGAUCUACUGAUCAACUCCUUUCCCGUACUAUGGAUGCAAUCACCUCGCAGGAACCAACACCUCCACAGCACCAGAAUAGUUUUAGUCCCCAUCUCCGUAUUGCAGGUUCCUAGGAGGAUCUGAAGCCAGUCCUCCCCUGAGAACCUAAAGAGUGUCUCACUAGGUAGAUCCUAGACUUUCCGCAUUUCGCUUCUUAAGGCCUUACUUUUUGUACAGGAAAUUACCGCAUGAUAUUCAUCUUCCUCUCCGUUGCCACAAAUAUUGCAGGUGUUGUCAACUUCUAGAGUACGUUUCCAUUUGUUCAAUUUGGUCGGUAAGGUAUUUGUAGCUAUUCUCCACCCAAAAAUCUUAAUUUUUUCAGGGACCUUGGCUUUCCAAAUGAUAUCCCAGAUGCUACGGUCAUCGCCUGAAUUUGUGGAACUCGAAGCUGGCCUGUUUUCCUGGAUUUGGAGAGAUGCCGCCAGUCUGUACGCACUCCAGACAGUGAAGGUACCCGAUUUCUCAUAGUGUCACGCCACCAUGUCCUCCGCCUCAGAUACUGGGAUUUUGAUAUUGCAAAUCGCUUCGGCAUCAAAACUAAAAAACAGUUGAUGGAUUAACUCCGAGUUCCAACCGCUGUCGUCGGCAUUCAUCAACUGAUUAACCCAUCUUAAUCUGGAGCGCCGAAUGAAUUGUGCAGGUUUCAGUCCUUCCUCCUGCGGGAUCCAUUGAUCCCGUUGAAUGCUGACCUUCCUUCCAUUACCGAUCCUCCAAACAAGACCCGCCUUGAGAAGCUCAAGCCCAUGUUCAAUUCCCCGCCAAACCGGAGAGGCAUUCGUUGCAAACACCGUAUCCAAUAGUUCACCACACGGGUAGUACUUGGAUUUAAGAACUCUUGCGCACAAGCUAUCCGGCCUUAGAAUCAACCUCCAGGCUUGUCGUGCGAGCAGUGCUUGGUUGAAGAGCUUCAUAUCUUUAAAACUGAUGCCACCUCCUCCUUUUGGCUUUAUCAUGCGCUCCCAGGACAUCCAAUGAACCUUCCUGUGGCCAUUUUCAUCGCCCCACCAGAAGUCCCGUAUCAGUUUCUCGUAUCUCUCGCAGAAACCAUGGGUCAUUUCAAAGACCCCCAUGCAGUAAGUUGGGAGGGCUUGGAGGACUGACUUAACUAGAACCUCUUUCGCUGCAUGAGACAUAAAUCUUUCAGACCAAUCUGAGCAUCUCUUGAUGAAUCUCUCCAUGAUAGGUUGGAACAUGGAAUCUUUCAUUCGUCCUUCUGGCGUGGGGAGUCCUAAAUACUUGCUUUCAAAGGUGGAGGCCAUGAUAUCAAGCACCAUUUUGACAUCUUGUUGGACCUCCACUGGGCAUAGCUCACUGAAGAGUAAAGAACACUUGCUGAAACUGAGAAGUUGUCCCGAGCCCUUUUGGAAAUCAAUUAGGACUUGUUUCACCCUCUCGGCCUCUUCAACUGAAGCUUUGAAAAAGAGAAGGCUGUCAUCGGCGAAUAGUAGAUUUGAAAUCCCAGGGUUUUUCUUUUGAUCGAGCUUACUGUCGUAAUUGGGUUUUUCUAGUAUGGGUGAGCGAGGUUUAUGAAAGAACUUUGUUUUUUCUUUGGCUUCCUAUAAAAGCCAGAUAAUGGAAGUUGUCAUUUCUCUAAAAAUGUUCAAGAAACCUUUUUUUGGGAGGUAAAUAGGAGUUUUAUUCCAUAAUGAUAGGGUUAUGUUCGAGAAACUUGAAGCAUGAUUUUUGGAGAUGUAAGAAUCAUACAGUUUAGAAAUGAAUCAAGUUCAUGCACUAGUAAACUAAAAAAGUAAAUCAUGUAUUAACCAAGGCAAAAAUAUACACAUAGAAAAUAGAUAAUUGUACCUCACCUGAGGAACCAGCAUAGCACAUUAUCAGAUCUCAUGUGUAAUGUGUUCACAAUUUUGAUUCACCCUUUUCGACCCAACUUUCCUGCCUACAAGCAAAAGAAACCCAAUAAACCAAUGUAAAUUCAAUAGUUGAAUCGAGAGAAAACAUGCAUAACCACAAGCAUGCUAGUGUAAAAUGAAGGAAAUAUGCCCUAGAGGCAAUAAUAAAGUUAUUAUUUAUUUCCUCAUAUCAUGAUAAAUUUUUAUUAUUCAUGCUAGAAUUGUAUUAACCGGAAACAUGAUACAUGUGUGAAUACAUAGACAAACAUAUAGUCACUAGUAUGUCUCUACUUGAAUAGCUCAUCAAUCAAAGAUGGUUAUGUUUCCUAACCAUAGACAUGUGUUGUCAUUUGAUUAGUGGGAUCACAUCAUUAGGAGAAUGAUGUGAUUGACAUGACCCAUUCCGUUAGCCCAGCACUUGAUCGUUUAGUAUAUUGCUAUUGCUUUCUUCAUGACUUAUACAUGUUCCUGUAACUAUGAGAAUUAUGCAACUCCCGUUUACCGGAGGAACACUUUGGGUACUACCAAACGUCACAACGUAACUGGGUGAUUAUAAAGGAGUACUACAGGUGUCUCCGAAGGUACAUGUUGAGUUGGCGUAUUUCGAGAUUAGGUUUUGUCACUCCGAUUGUCGGAGAGGUAUCUCUGGGCCCUCUCGGUAAUGCACAUCAUUAUAAGCCUUGCAAGCAAUGUAACCAAAUGAGUUGGUUACGGGAUGAUGCACUACGGAACGAGUAAAGAGACUUGCCGGUAACGAGAUUGAACUAGGUAUUGGAUACCGACGAUCAAAUCUCGGGCAAGUAACAUACCGAUGACAAAGGGAACAACGCAUGUUGUUAUGCGGUUUGAUCGAUAAAGAUCUUCGUAGAAUAUGUAGGAACCAAUAUGGGCAUCCAGGUCCCGCUAUUGGUUAUUGACCGAGAAUAGUUCUAGGUCAUGUCUACAUAGUUCUUGAACCCGUAGGGUCCGCACGCUUAACGUUACGAUGACAGUUUUAUUAUGAGUUUAUAAGUUUUGAUGUACUGAAGUUUGUUCGGAGUCCCGGAUGUGAUCACGGACAUGACGAGGAGUCUCGAAAUGGUCGAGACAUAAAGAUUGAUAUAUUGGAAGCCUAUGUUUGGACAUCGGAAUGGUUCCGGGUGAAAUCGGCAUUUUACCGGAGUACCGGGAGGUUACCGGAACCCCCCGGGGGGUUGUUGGGCCUACAUGGGCCUCGAGGGAGAAGAGAAAAGGAGGUAGGAGGGGGCCGCGCGCCCCUCCCCUUCCUGGUCCGAAUAGGACAAGGGAAGGGGGGCGGCGCCCCCCCCCCUUUCCUUCCCCUCUUCCUCCUCUUUCCCCCCUUCUCCUACUCCUACUAGGAAAGAAGGGAGUCCUACUCCCGGUGGGAGUAGGACUCCCCCCUUGGCGCGCCCUCCUUGCCCGGCCGCCUCCUCCCCCCUGGCUCCUUUAUAUACGGGGGCGGGGGGGCACCCCAAAGACACACAAGUUGAUCUACGGAUCGUUCCUUAGCCGUGUGCGGUGCCCCCCUCCACCAUAUUCCACCUCGGUCAUAUCGUCACGGAGUUUAGGCAAAGCCCUGCGCCGGUAGAACAUCAUCACCGUCACCAUGUCGUCGUGCUGACGGAACUCAUCCUCGACGCUCUGCUGGAUUGGAGCCCGGAGAUCGUCAUCGAGCUGAACGUGUGCUGAACUCGGAGGCGCCGUACGUUCGGAGCUUGGAUCGGUCGGAUCAUGAAGACGUACGACUACAUCAACCGCGUUGUCAUAACGCUUCCUCUAACAGUCUACGAGGGUAUGUGGACAUACACUCUCCCCUCUCGUUGCUAUGCCAUCAACAUGAUCUUGCGUGUGCGUAGGAAAUUUUUUGAAAUUACUACGUUCCCCAACAGUGGCAUCCGAGCCUAGGUUUUAUGCUUUGAUGUUAUAUGCACGAGUAGAACACAGUGAGUUGUGGGCGAUACAAGUCAUACUGCUUACCAGCAUGUCAUACUUUGGUUCGGCGGUAUUGUGAGAUGAAGCGGCCCGGACCGACAUUACGCGUACGCUUACGCGAGACUGGUUUCACCGUUACGAGCACUUGUGCUUAAAGGUGGCUGGCGGGUGUCUGUCUCUCUCACUUGAGCUGAAUCGAGUGUGGCUACGCCCGGUCCUUGCGAAGGUUAAAACAACACCAACUUGACGAACUAUCGUUGUGGUUUUUAUGCGUAGGUAAGAACAGUUCUUGCUAAAUCCCGUAGCAGCCGCGUAAAAUUUGCAACAACAAAGUAGAGGACAUCUAACUUGUUUUUGCAGGGCAUGUUGUGAUGUGAUAUGGUCAAGACGUGAUGCUAUAUUUUAUUGUAUGAGAUGAUCAUGUUUUGUAACCGAAGUUAUCGGCAACUGGCAGGAGCCAUAUGGUUGUCGCUUUAUUGUAUGAAAUGCAAAAGCCCUGUAAUUGCUUUACUUUAUCUCUAAGCGGCAGCGAUAGUCGUAGAAGCAAUAGAUGGCGUAACGACAACGAUGCUACGAUGGAGAUCAAGGUGUUGCGCCGGUGACGAUGGUGAUCACGAUGGUGCUUCGAAGAUGGAGAUCACAAGCACAAGAUGAUGAUGGCCAUAUCAUAUCACUUAUAUUGAUUGCAUGUGAUGUUUAUCCUUUAUGCAUCUUAUCUUGCUUUGAUUGACGGUAGCAUUUUAAGAUGAUCUCUCACUAAAAAUUAUCAAGAAGUGUUCUCACUGAGUAUGCACCGUUGCCAAAGUUCGGCGUGCCCAGACACCACAUGAUGAUCGGGUGUGAUAAGCUCUACGUCCAUCUACAACGGGUGCAAGCCAGUUUUUGCACACGCAGAAUACUCAGGUUAAACUUGACGAGCCUAGCAUAUGCAGAUAUGGCCUCGGAACACGGAGACCGAAAGGUCGAGCGUGAAUCAUAUAGUAGAUAUGAUCAACAUAAAGAUGUUCACCAUUGAAAACUACUCCAUCUCACGUGAUGAUCGGUUAUGGUUUAGUUGAUUUGGAUCACGUGAUCACUUAGAUGACUAGAGAGAUGUCUGUCUAAGUGGGAGUUCUUAAGUAAUAUGAUUAAUUGAACUUAAAUUUAUCAUGAACUUAGUACCUGAUAGUAUUUUGCUUGUCUAUGUUUGUUGUAGAUAGAUGGCUCGUGCUGUUGUUCCGUUGAAUUUUAAUGCGUUCCUUGAGAAAGCAAAGUUGAAAGAUAUUAGUAGCAACGAUGCGGAUUGGAUCCGUGAUCUGAGGUUUAUCCUCAUUGCUGCACAGAAGAAUUAUGUCCUUAAUGCACCACUAGGUGACAGACCUAUUGCAGGAGCAGAUGCAGACGUUAUGAACGUUUGGCUAGCUCAAUAUGAUGACUACUUGAUAGUUUUGUGCACCAUGCUUUAUGGCUUAGAAUCGGGAUUUCAAAGACGUUUUGAACGUCAUGGACCAUAUGAGAUGUUCCAGGAAUUGAAGAUUAAUAUUUCAAGCAAAUACCCGAGUUGAGAGAUAUGAAGUCUCCAACAAGUUCUAUAGCUAAAAGAUGGAGGAGAAUCUCUCAACUAGUGAGCAUGUGCUCAGAUUGUCUGGGUACUACAAUCGCUUGAAUCAAGUGGGAGUUAAUCUUCCAGAUAAGAUAGUGAUUGACAGAAUUCUCUAGUCACCACCACCAAGUUAGUAGAACUUCGUGAUGAACUAUAAUGCAAGGGAUGACAAAAACGAUUCCCGAGCUCUUCGUGAUGCUAAAAUCGAUGAAGGUAGAAAUCAAGAAAAACAUCAAGUGUUGAUGGUAGACAAGACCACUAGUUUCAAGAAAAGGGCAAAGGGAAGAAGGGGAACUUCAAGAAGAACGGCAAGCGAGUUGCUUCUCAAGUGAAGAAUCCCAACUCUGGUCCUAAGCCUGAGACUAAGUGCUUCUACUGCGAAAGGAUUGGUCACUGGAAGCGGAAAUACCCCAAGUGAUUGGCGGAUAAGAAGGAUGGCAAAGUGAACAUAAGUAUAUUUGAUACAUGUUAUUGAUGUGCCUUACUAGUGUUUAUAGUAGCCCCUGAGUAUUUGAUACUAGUUCAGUUGCUAAGAUUAGUAACUCGAAACGGGAGUUGCAGAAUAAACAGAGACUAGUUAAGGGUGAAGUGACAAUGUGUGUUGGAAGUGGUUCCAAGAUUGAUAUGAUCAUCAUCGCGCACUCCCUAUACUUUCGGGAUUAGUGUUGAACCUAAAUAAAUGUUAUUUGGUGUUUGCGUUGAGCAUGAAUAUGAUUUGAUCGUGUUUAUUGCAAUACGGUUAUUCAUUUAAGUAAGAGAAUAAACUGUUGUUCUGUUUACAUGAAUAAAACCUUAUAUGGUUACACACCCAAUGAAAAUGGUUCAUUUGAUCUCGAUCAUAGUGAUACACAUAUUCAUAAUAUUGAAACCAAAAGAUGCGAAGUUAAUAAUGAUAGUGCAACUUAUUUGUGGCACUGCCGUUUGGGUCAUAUCGGUGUAAAGCGCAUGAAGAUACUCCAUAAAGAUGGAUUUUCGGAAUCACUUGGUUAUGAAUCAUUUGAUGCUUGCGAACCGUGCCUUUUGGGCAAGAUGACUAAAACUCCGUUCUCCGGAACAAUGGAACAUGCUGCUGACUUAUUGGAAAUAAUACAUACCGAUGUAUGCGAUCCAAUGAGUGUUGAUGCUCGUGGCAAGUAUCGUUAUUUUCUGACCUUCACAAGAUGAUUUGAGAAGAUAUGGGUAUAUCUACUUGAUGAAACAUAAGUCUGAAAUAGUUGAAAGGUUCAAAGAAUUUCAGAGUGAAGUGGAGAAUCAUCGUAACAAGAAAAUAAAGUUUCUGUGAUUUGAUCGCGGAGACAAAUAUUUGAGUUACGAGUUUGGUCUUCAAUUAAAACAAUGUGGAAUAGUUUCACAGCUCACGCCACCUGGAACACCACAAUGUUAUGGUGUGUCCGAACGUCGUAACCGCACUUUAUUGGAUAUGGUGCGAUCUAUGAUGUCUCUUAUCGGUUUUACCACUAUCGUUUUGGGGUUGUGCAUUAGAGACAGCUGCAUUCACGUUUAAAAAGGGCACCAUCUAAAUCCGUUGAGACAACACCGUAUGAACUAUGGUUUAGCAGUAAACCUAAGCUGUCGUUUCUUAAAGUUUGGAGUUGCGAUGCUUAUAUAAAAAGGUUUUCAACCUGAUAAGCUCGAACCCAAAUUGGAGAAGUGCGUCUUCAUAGAAUACCCAAAGGAAACUGUUGGGUACACCUUCAAUCAUAGAUCCGAAGGCAAGACAUUCGUUGCUAAGAAUGGAUCCUUUCUAGAGAAGGAGUUUCUCUCGAAAGAAGUGAGUGGGAGGAAAGUAGAACUUGAUGAGAUAACUGUAUCUACUCCCUUAUUGGAAAGUAGUUCAUCACAAGAACCGGUUCCUGUGAAAACUACACCAAUUAGUGAGGAAGCUAAUGAUAUUGAUCAUGAAACUUCAGAACAAGUUUCUACUGAACCUUGUAGGUCUACCAGAGUAAUAUUCGCACCAGAGUGGUAUGGUAAUCCUAUUCUGAAAGUCAUGUUACUUGACCAUGAUGAACCUACGAACUAUGAGGAAGUGAUGAUGAGCCCAGAUUCCGCAAAAUGGCUUGAGGCCAUGAAAUCUGAGAUGGGAUCCAUGUAUGAAAACAAAGUAUGGACUUUGGUUGACUUGCCCGAUGAUCGGCAAGCCAUUGAGAAUAAAUGGAUCUUUAAGAAGAAGACUGACGCUGAUGGUAAUGUAACUGUCUAUAAAGCUCGACUUGUUGCGAAAGGUUUUCGACAAGUUCAAGGGGUUGACUACGAUGAGACUUUCUCACCCAUAGCGAUGCUUAAGUCUGUCCGAAUCAUGUUAGCUAUUGCUGCAUUUCAUGAUUAUGAAAUUUGGCAAAUGGAUGUCAAAACUGCAUUCUUGAAUGGAUUUCUGGAAGAAGAGUUGUAUAUGAUGCAGCCAGAAGGUUUUGUUGAUCCAAAAGGUGCUAACAAAGUAUGCAAGCUCCAGCGAUCCAUUUAUGGACUGGUGCAAGCAUCUCGGAGUUGGAAUAAACGUUUUGAUAGUGUGAUCAAAGCAUAUGGUUUUAUACAGACUUUUGGAGAAGCCUGUAUUUACAAGAAAGUGAGUGGGAGCUCUGUAGCAUUUCUGAUAUUAUAUGUAGAUGACAUAUUAUUAAUUGGAAAUGAUAUAGAAUUUCUGGAUAGCAUAAAGGGAUACUUGAAUAAAAGUUUUUUUCAAUGAAAGACCUCGGUGAAGCUGCUUACAUAUUGGGCAUCAAGAUCUAUAGAGAUAGAUCAAGACGCUUAAUAGGACUUUCACAAAGCACAUACCUUGACAAAAUUUUGAAAAAGUUCUAAAUGGAUCAGGCAAAGAAAGGGUUCUUGCCCGUGCUACAAGGUGUGAAGUUGAGUCAAACUCAAUGCCCGACCACAGCAGAAGAUAGAGAGAAAAUGAAAGAUGUUCCCUAUGCUUCAGCCAUAGGCUCUAUCAUGUAUGCAAUGCUGUGUACCAGACCUGAUGUAUGCUUAGCGAUAAGCUUGGCAGGAAGGUACCAAAGUAAUCCAGGAGUGGAUCACUGGACAGCGGUCAAGAACAUCCUGAAAUACCUGAAAAGGACUAAGGAUAUGUUUCUCGUAUAUGGAGGUGACAAGGAGCUAGUCGUAAAUGGUUACGUCGAUGCAAGCUUUGACACUGAUCCGGAUGAUUCUAAAUCGCAAACCGGAUACGUGUUUUUAUUAAACGGUGGAGCUGUAAGUUGGUGCAGUUCUAAACAAAGCGUCGUGGCGGGAUCUACAUGUGAAGCGGAGUACAUAGCUGCUUCUGAAGCAGCAAAUGAAGGAGUCUGGAUGAAGGAAUUCAUUUCCGAUCUAGGUGUCAUACCUAGUGCAUCGGGACAAAUGAAAAUCUUCUGUGACAAUACUGGUGCAAUUGCCUUGGCAAAGGAAUCCAGAUUUCACAAGAGGACCAAGCACAUCAAGAGACGCUUCAAUUCCAUUCGGGACCAAGUCCAAGUGGGAGACAUAGAGAUUUGCAAGAUACAUACGGAUCUGAAUGUUGCAGACCCGUUGACUAAGCCUCUCUCACGAGCAAAACAUGAUCAGCACCAAGACUCCAUGGGUGUUAGAAUCAUUACUAUGUAAUCUACAUUAUUGACUCUAGUGCAAGUGGGAGACUGAAGGAAAUAUGCCCUAGAGGCAAUAAUAAAGUUAUUAUUUAUUUCCUCAUAUCAUGAUAAAUGUUUAUUAUUCAUGCUAGAAUUGUAUUAACCGGAAACAUGAUACAUGUGUGAAUACAUAGACAAACAUAUAGUCACUAGUAUGCCUCUACUUGACUAGCUCAUCAAUCAAAGAUGGUUAUGUUUCCUAACCAUAGACAUGUGUUGUCAUUUGAUUAGUGGGAUCACAUCAUUAGGAGAAUGAUGUGAUUGACAUGACCCAUUCCGUUAGCCUAGCACUUGAUCGUUUAGUAUAUUGCUAUUGCUUUCUUCAUGACUUAUACAUGUUUCUGUAACUAUGAGAAUUAUGCAACUCCCGUUUACCGGAGGAACACUUUGGGUACUACCAAACGUCACAACAUAACUGGGUGAUUAUAAAGGAGUACUACAGGUGUCUCCGAAGGUACAUGUUGAGUUGGCGUAUUUCGAGAUUAGGUUUUGUCACUCCGAUUGUCGGAGAGGUAUCUCUGGGCCCUCUCGGUAAUGCACAUCAUUAUAAGCCUUGCAAGCAAUGUAACCAAAUGAGUUGGUUACGGGAUGAUGCACUACGGAACGAGUAAAGAGACUUGCCGGUAACGAGAUUGAACUAGGUAUUGGAUACCGACGAUCAAAUCUCGGGCAAGUAACAUACCGAUGACAAAGGGAACAACGCAUGUUGUUAUGCGGUUUGAUCGAUAAAGAUCUUCGUAGAAUAUGUAGGAACCAAUAUGGGCAUCCAGGUCCCGCUAUUGGUUAUUGACCGAGAAUAGUUCUAGGUCAUGUCUACAUAGUUCUCGAACCCGUAGGGUCCGCACGCUUAACGUUACGAUGACAGUUUUAUUAUGAGUUUAUAAGUUUUGAUGUACUGAAGUUUGUUCGGAGUCCCGGAUGUGAUCACGGACAUGACGAGGAGUCUCGAAAUGGUCGAGACAUAAAGAUUGAUAUAUUGGAAGCCUAUGUUUGGACAUCGGAAUGGUUCCGGGUGAAAUCGGCAUUUUACCGGAGUACCGGGAGGUUACCGGAACCCCCCGGGGGGUUGUUGGGCCUACAUGGGCCUCGAGGGAGAAGAGAAAAGGAGGUAGGAGGGGGCCGCGCGCCCCUCCCCUUCCUGGUCCGAAUAGGACAAGGGAAGGGGGGCGGCGCCCCCCCCCUUUCCUUCCCCUCUUCCUCCUCUUUCCCCCCUUCUCCUACUCCUACUUGGAAAGAAGAGAGUCCUACUCCCACCCCCCCUUCCUUCCCCUCUUCCUCCUCUUUCCCCCCUUCUCCUACUCCUACUUGGAAAGAAGAGAGUCCUACUCCCGGUGGGAGUAGGACUCCCCCCUUGGCGCGCCCUCCUUGGCCGGCCCCCUCCUCCCCCCUGGCUCCUUUAUAUACAGGGGCGGGGGGGCACCCCAAAGACACACAAGUUGAUCUACGAAUCGUUCCUUAGCCGUGUGCGGUGCCCCCUCCACCAUAUUUCACCUCGGUCAUAUCGUCGCGGAGUUUAGGCAGAGCCCUGCGCCGGUAGAACAUCAUCACCGUCACCACGCCGUCGUGCUGACGGAACUCAUCCCCGACGCUCUGCUGGAUUGGAGUCCGGAGAUCGUCAUCGAGCUGAACGUGUGCUGAACUCGGAGGCGCCGUACGUUCGGAGCUUGGAUCGGUCGGAUCGUGAAGACGUACGACUACAUCAACCACGUUGUCAUAACGCUUCCGCUAACGGUCUACGAGGGUACGUGGACAUACACUCUCCCCUCUCGUUGCUAUGCCAUCAACAUGAUCUUGCGUGUGCGUAGGAAUUUUUUUGAAAUUACUACAUCCCCCAACAUAAAAUGUAUGAUUCAUCAUUGAAACACAUCUUAUAAUUAUGAAUGAUUCAUAAUUGAAAUCCAAUGUAAAUUGAUCGAACAUAAAGAAAUGGAGAAUUAGUUCUAUCCCGUAGCAGCAUUCCAAAGUGUUAACAAUCUGCGACAUAAAAGCCAAACCCUACUCCUCUCAUUUCUCUUAUCCACCUCGACUUCCCCAUCUCCUUCUCAGCUCGCCAACCUUGCACCCAUGCACAGGGGACACCCUCAUCCUCCAGUGGAACACCCAUAUUAUUAUGAGUUUAUGACUACACAUGUUCCUCUUCUACACUUUUGUUACGAUCACACAAAUAUAAAUUAUAGUAGCAUAACCAAAAGGCCAAAAGGUAAACCUUGAAGGAUCAUCCUGAGCACAAGGAAUGUGUGAGGCCAGAUCAUCGUUAUAGAACAAACACCAAGCAAAAAUGAUAAUUUACUCUCAUAUUGUACACACUACGCAUGAUCUUGAACUUAAUAUCCAAGUAUAGUACAGAGCGACCAAUCUACAAGAACCCAACUCAACAUUCUUCCCCACCCUGUUUAUCUAGACAGUAUCAUCAUCCUCAACGGUAUGAUCUGACAUCCUCAAAUUAGCAUACAUCUCUUGCAAUCAAAUGACGUCCACCAGCAACCAGUUGUCCCCAUUGCAUAGCCUGAUGCAAAGUUGAAAAUUCCUGGAAUGAAUGAGAUAUACUCUGGAAUCAUCAUCAUCAGGCGAUAACUAGGCGUUCAUCUCGCCAUACUCCACCCCAUGUAGGGACGGAAUUGUUGAGAAUCUUGAGGAUCCAAAAUCUAAGACAAGAAUAUCAUUCCUGAUGCUCGGUAUGUAUAUAUUAGUGCCGACAAGCCGAGGUCCAAGAAAACAUGGCUGACAGCAAUAAGGGAAAGUGUGUCGUAGCCGAAGUAUGCAAACACCACACACCGUCUUUAAACAUAUAAAAGUAUGCCACACUUUUUCCUCUUCCUGGUCCUGAAAGAACCAGAAGUAGGCCACUUUGUUUGAAGAAGAUGCAUCUGGUACUGCCCUCGGGUAGGUCAUGAGGGGGUUGUUGGAUGAUGGGCACUGCUCCCUCGAGGCACAGCGGGGAUGGUCCAGCCCGAAACGUGGAUUCAGAAUUGCCCUUGAUGAGGAUGCAGCCGUUGUGGCAGCCCCCGGUCCAUACAUUAUGAUAGCCAUCAAAGUUGUAGCUUGCCGCACGGCGGGCGAUGACGGCGAGCUUGGGGGGCUAAGGCUGCAUCAAGGUGAAGAGUUAGGGUGCAGUGAGGUAGAAGCCGAGGGGGUGAGGAGGGUGCAGUUUACGGAAUCGGCGGAGGAAGGCGAGGUUGGAAGCAUGGAGGAACCAACGCUUGCAGGCAAGGGCGAUGGCGCCAACGGGUGUGGUGGGGAAGCCAAGGCGGACGAUGAUCUCGAUGAGGAGGUUGUCGUCGAGCACCUUGGACACGGGGACGGCACAUGGCAGUUUCUUCGCAUUCAUACAUGCCUUGGACGAAAUGGGAUCGGCCCUAAUACAACAAUACUGUUUAAAACUCGGUCGAUUCAACGAUUUAUCGCUACUNNNNNNNNNNNNNNNNNNNNNNNNNNNNNNNNNNNNNNNNNNNNNNNNNNNNNNNNNNNNNNNNNNNNNNNNNNNNNNNNNNNNNNNNNNNNNNNNNNNNNNNNNNNNNNNNNNNNNNNNNNNNNNNNNNNNNNNNNNNNNNNNNNNNNNNNNNNNNNNNNNNNNNNNNNNNNNNNNNNNNNNNNNNNNNNNNNNNNNNNNNNNNNNNNNNNNNNNNNNNNNNNNNNNNNNNNNNNNNNNNNNNNNNNNNNNNNNNNNNNNNUAUGCCAUAUUAUUCUCGUUUUGUCUGAUUUGUCACUCUGGCAAGUGAUUUAUCAGGAGUCUAUCGAUAAACCAGGCUUAUUCCUAGAACUAUGAUUAUUUGUGUUUUGUGGACCUUGCUAUGUAAUAUGUACCUCUAUUCUACUUUGUUUUUAAUUGUACAAGGAUUCAGAGGCAACGAAUCCGACAUAACACUUGUGUCCAAUAUUAUUUUUGUGUUGAGUAUAGCAUAUUGAAGCGAUGUAAACUUGAGAUUUGAACAAAAAUGGCCGAUUAAUAGCCGACUGAUAAAAUCGAUUAAUCAGCCGAUUUUUAAUUAAUCUCUAAUCCCCAGCCAACUGAGACGCUAACGAUAAAUGAUAUCAUUAACAUUCAACAUUCAACAGCUGCUGCAACUAACAAAUGCAACAAUCCAGCUCAACAUUGAGAAACUGCGUAAAACAAUAAGAUACUAGAUGUCACCGUGAGAAACUGUGCAAAACAUAAGAAAUUAGAUGUCACCGUAGGCAUCGUCCCUCUCUCAGUAUGUACAUACCGUGGUAUGUCUGCCUUCCUGUCAUGGUAUGCCUACCUCCCUGUCUCAGCAAGUAGUAUUUUUUGCAAGAGAAGGAAAUAAACUACCUUUGGAGAGAUACGACGACUUUAAUAGUUCAGGCUUUGCUAAAACCCAGUCAAUUAAGAUUUAGUAAGUCUUAAUCGACCUUGCAGCAUUUUAUCCAUGGUUUGCAACAUUUCUUUCAACCGAUUACAACAACCGUCUUGUUGGUUAUAGCACGUCAUUCGUUGUAUCACUCAUCUCAUCAUUUAUUGAUUGUAUCACGUCAUCUCAUCGGUCGACACCCUCCAUUACAUUUCUUCCUACUGGUUACAACAACCGUCUUGUUGGUUGUAGCAUUGACGUUCAUUGAUUGCACCACUCAUCUCAACGAUUGUUGAUUGUAUCACGUCAUCUCACCGGUUGACACAUCCCCAUUAACAUUGUACCACUCAUCUCACCAGUUGUUGAUUGUAUCACGUCAUCUCACAGGUUGACACAGUUGAAAUAUGGGGUGGGCUUUAGGCCCAUCCAACAAUUUCAGAAAAAUCUCUAAGGGCCCAUGUGGGUUUAUUGGCACUAGGUGGAGGUGGGAAGUUUAGUCCCAUCCCGGAAGUGGAAGAGGAGUUGGACCUCCUUAUAAGGGUUCCUCUUCUACAUGCUAUUGGAGCUUGAGAAAAGAAAAGGCCCUCGCACGCUCCUCCGCUGCCGCUCGCCACACCUCGUCGCGCCGCGUCGCGGGUUGCGGGAAUGAGCGGAGCCGAGCUCAGUAUAGAUUUGUCUACUGUUUGUGUAGUACAUGCUUGUGCUUGUUUACAUCAGUAUCAGUAUGUCAGUGCUUGUUUAGAUGGUCGUUAAUUCUGUCAAUGCCAUCUUAGUCAUCUACUUAUGAAUUAAAUUAGUUGAAAAAUUGCCUAUUUAAUAACAUUUUUGUUCGAAUGGUUGUAGCAACGACGUCAAUCGAGCUCCCUCUCUGCAGGUAAAUAUUUGGGGCUCCACUAUCUGCACGUAAAUAUUUGAUUUUUUUGGAACUAUGAUGAUUUUUAUAGCAAAUUCGGAAACUAUACACCCUAAUGGAGAAAAAUCAAAAGUACCACCCCCUCGGCCUCCUGUUAGCCGAAAAGAGACUUUUCGGCCUCCCGUUGACCGAAGAGGGACUUUUGCCAACCGUUGGCCAAAGAGGGACUUUUCGGGCAACCGUUGGCCAAAAAGUACUUUUCGGCCAACAGUUGGCCAAAGAAUCCCUCUUCAGCCAACAAUUGCUCUAUUUUUUUAAAAAAUCAUAUCAAAUAGUUAAUUUAAUUCUUUUUGCAUUAGAUUAGAAAUUUUAUGAAGUUUCUGUAGAUAUCAAGUUUGACUAUAUUUGAAAGUUUGAAUUUGAAUUUUCAUGAAUUUUCUCAAAUCACUAAAUUGCCUAUAAUUUGAGCUAUGAGUAUUCUUUUUAGAUGAUUUUUUUUGCUACUGGUUCUUUGUGACUUUGUUUAUCAGUUGUAAUUAAUUGGUGAAUUUUAGGAUUAUUUAAAAUUAGGUUUUUAUGCCAUUCUUUUCCUUCAUUUGCUCCCGCCAUUUUAUUUUCUGCCAUUCUCUUCCUCCAUUUUCUUUCUGGCCAUUCUCUCCCGCGAUCUUCUUUCCCGCCAUCUUCUUUUUUGCCAUCUUCACUUCUCAACUUAUAAAACGAGCCUCAUAGUGUCCACGAUCAUAGAUAACAUCGUCUGACACGGUCUGUGUUUCCUGCGUCGGUGCUGAUGGUGGAGUGUGAAACACUGUCUGGGAGAAAUCAUAAGUGUUUGCAGCUUCGUCAUCAUCAUCGGAGAGUGUUUCACACUAAUGACUUCUCUCACACAGUGUUUCACACUCCACAUGAAGGCAUCAUCGUCAUCCUUCGUCGAUGCAUCACUCCUUAGUGUGGCGGGAGAGAAUGGCGGGAAAGAAAAUAGCGGCAAAGAAAAUGUCGGGAAAGAAAAUGACGGCAAAAAAAUGGAGGGAAAAAGAUUGCGGGAAAGUACUUUUUUAUCAUGUAUAAAACGGCAAUGGUUAUACAGGAUUUACAAGGCACUUCUAAAUAUAAACUCCUAUGAAGCUCAAAACAAGUUUUCUAGUAGGAUAAAAGAAAUAAAAUACAAAAAAUACUAUAAAUAAAAUAGCUACUGAUAACUAAACAGAAACAAAAUGAAUAUGUCAAAAAGACUAAAGAAAAAAAUCUAAAGCAAUUAAAAUGAAAGAAAUAGCAUAAAACCUAUAAAAUACUAAAACACUAAAACAGAACUGUUUUCAUAAAAACCUAUUUUUUAAUAAUUAUAAAAUUCGCCAAUUAAUUACUACUGAUAAACAAAUUCACAAAUAACCAGUGGCAAAAAGAAUCAUCUAAAAAGAAUACACCUAGCUCAAAUUAUAGGCAAUCUAGUGAUUUGAGAAAAUUCAUGAAAAUUUAAAUUCAAACUUUUAAAUCUAGUCAAACUUGAUAUCUACAGAAACUUCAUAAAAUUUCUAAUCUAAUGCAAAAAGAAUCAAAUUAAAAUACUAAAAAUCCUAUUUGAUAUGAAUUUUUUAGAAAGUAGAGCAACUGUUGGCCGAAAACGAAAAGUCCUUUUUGGACUAGGGUCGGCCGAAAAGUCCCUCUUCGACCAUCGGGAGGCCGACGGGUGACACUUUUGAUUUUUCUUCAUUAGGAUGUAUAGUUUCCGAAUUUGUUAUAAAAAUCAUCAUAGUUUCAAGAAAAAAUCUAAAUAUUUGGGGGAAAUCAAACUAGGGUUUCCCAAACUAGAUUCGAAUUUUCCAAAGAGAAGAGGUAAAUUAGUAGGGGGUCGAGAAGAAGAGGAAGGAGAUAGGGUCGCCUGACCUCGAACCGCCGGUGAGUGGUGGGUUCAGAUCGCCCCAUUUUCACUCGGCUCCGGUGGCCGUUGUGCUGGCUAGAGGAGCGCCGGCAUUCAUACGCACCACUGCUUUGCUAUCCAGCUCCACAUCAAGUUUGUUCACGUCCAUUUCUGAGCAUCUGAUUCGCACGCACGCCAAGCGAAUAAACAAGUACUCAAGUUACAAAUUACGAAUCAAACUUUUGUGAUGAAACCAGGCAAGAGCACUCGAGUCACAAAUUACUACUAGUACAUCAAAGGUGCAUUUUACAACUGACCGAUACAUUUUAUUCGGGCACACGCAUGUGCGCGCAGCAUACACGCGCGAGCCAACUAGGACAGACGGGCAAGAUCACUAGCCACACAAAGAAAACAGGUGCCAGCUCCUGAUCCCGGUCAUCACACACCUAG